This 1572-nucleotide long non-coding RNA is filed under the name Gadus morhua (Atlantic cod). RNAcentral's name for it is "lncRNA (ENSGMOG00000031924.1)". The record is from RNAcentral. Lineage: Eukaryota; Metazoa; Chordata; Actinopteri; Gadiformes; Gadidae.
AUGCAUGUGUCGCAACGUGACGAAGGGGAUGGUGAGGGUUUUCAGGAACCCCCGGCGGCUGCAGGGGGUAGGACUGGUGACUCUAUAGAGUCGAAUAUACAGGACGGUGGCGGUGGUGGUGGUGGUGGUGGUGGUGGUGUUGUUGACGUUGAUGGUACACCUGCGCCUAUGGCGGCGGGUGAUGAUGAUGACGAGUUGCAUACUAGAUUAUUUCCCCGCUUUAAUGGUUUUGAGGUUAGACAGACCAUUGAUCUGAGAAGUAUAUCCCUAGUAAAUUUACAAGAGGUCCCUGAUUUGAUCAGGGAGAGACUGUCGGGGGUUAUAACAAACUGCUCACAAAGCACAGCCGACGGUAGUGUCUUAAACGUUGUUUUGAGAGGGCCUUCAUUGGCAGCUGAUGUGCAGGCUGUGCUCGUGGCAGGUGAUGAUUACAAUGCGGAUUUGUUUAUGGAUCAUAUUAGCCAAGUCAUACAGAGUAACGACACAGGUCUGACGGAUGAUGUGUUAGAGCUGGUGGUCACAGGGGUCCAUAACAAACGGGGUGGUGGGCGUUUGAAGUUAAAAACAAUUCCCUAUGAUGAGAUCAUAAACAAGAAGAAAUUAAAUCUCUACACACCAAGUAACACACAUAACAAUUUGUGUUUCUCACUAUGCAUGAUACAUUUUCUGCAGGAGGGGGUAACCGGAGGCAGUACAGUGCCCGACGAGACUAAUUUGGAGGCGGCUCACACAUUACAUAGGGAGCUGGGGUACGGUCCAGAUCACUCUGUGGGUUUCUCGGAUGUUUUCAAAUUUGAGAGACAUCUAGAUGUUAAAAUCUUGAUAUUUCAUCAUAAUGAUGCAUUCAAGAAGUUGGAGAUGUUCCAGACGCAUAUGGGCCAACAUCCUAAAACAAUAUGGUUGUACCUGCAUGAUAACCAUUAUCAUUGUAUAGUGAACCGCACGGCUUUCUUUGGUACGCGAUAUGUGUGUGAAUAUUGCUACAAAGCCCACGAGGCCAUUCUAUUCCACAAAUGCCCGGUCCAUUGCAAUGUGUGUCUGACAGUGUGCGAUAGCCUGGCAGGUCGUACUAUAAAGUGCACUGACUGUAGUCGUAUAUGCCGCUCGCAGGUCUGCUACGCCAUACAUACGCAACGUUCUGCCGUACAUAAAAUGAUACCAUGUGAAAAGAUCAAAUACUGUAAUCAGUGUUGUAGACAGUAUAUCAUACCGCAGAAGAAAAAGAAGAGGGGGGAGGAGGAGGAGGAGGAGGAGGAGGAGGAGGAGGAGGAGGGGGAGGAGGAGGAGGAGGAGAAGGCCUAUAAGGGGCAUGUAUGCAGCGUGUCAAAGUGUCAUCACUGCGGUGAACCGAUACCCAGCGACACUGUACAUGAAUGUUUUAUUCAGCCGUACGACCGCCUUAAGAAACGCAAGCGCAAGGGUCGACGCAAAGGUCGGGGGAACCGUUAUACGACGGCUGCACCUGUAGAUGAUGAUGAUGCUGAUAAUAGCCGUUUAUCUGAUGAUUAUGUAACCAACUGUAUUUUUAAAGGUAAUAUAACAAUGCAGUGGUGCAUCAAUCCCAGGUUAUGA